This 376-nucleotide ribosomal RNA is filed under the name uncultured bacterium. RNAcentral describes it as "bacterial SSU rRNA". It matches the Rfam family "Bacterial small subunit ribosomal RNA", at positions 524 to 898 of the family's 1533-position model. The record is from RNAcentral.
UACGUAGGGGGCGAGCGUUGUCCGGAUUUACUGGGCGUAAAGCGCGUGUAGGCGGUUGAUCAAGUCGGGUGUGAAAUGCUGCAGCUUAACUGCGGCACUGCGCUCGAAACUGGUUGACUGGAGUUUGGCAGGGGUAACCGGAAUUCCUGGUGUAACGGUGAAAUGUGUAGAUAUCAGGAGGAACAUCUGUGGCGAAGGCGGGUUACUGGGCCAAAACUGACGCUGAGACGCGAAAGCGUGGGGAGCAAACAGGAUUAGAUACCCUGGUAGUCCACGCUGUAAACGAUGAGUGCUAGGUGUUGGGGGUAUCGACUCCCUCAUUGCCGCAGCUAACGCAUUAAGCACUCCGCCUGGGGAGUACGGUCGCAAGAUUAAA